RNAcentral lists this small RNA (569 nucleotides) under bovine gut metagenome. The record is from RNAcentral.
CAUAGGAAAGGAUGCAUUAUUCUAGUCAAUGAAAUUUUAUUAAGAUGAUCCUAAAAAAUCAUUUAAGAGCACACCUGUGAAACUUUUGGUGUUUGCCUGUUUCGCCCAGAUUCGGGUGGAUGCUGAAAAUGAAGAGUUCAUGGGCGCCCGUAACGGCAUACGAUAAGCGUUCCAUUUACUCGUGGAGACCCAAUUGUUGUGGGAAACUACAAAUUGGGAUUAAACCUAUUUCUGGUCAAAGCUAGGAAUAGCGUAGCUUGGUUUGAGUGAAAAUAUGGGGAUGAAGACAGCUCUAUAUUUGGUGUACAUCUUUUAUUAUGAGCAUUGCUAACUGAAACUAUUUUUGCAAAAGAACAUAAGUAAAAUAAAUCGUUGCGAGGAAAACUUCUAGAAUGUUUAUUCUUACAAGAUUGCGGUAGUAUCUAAGUGGCAAUCAGGUAAGAUGCGCGGUAACGACAUCUUGAUCGCUUAAAAGGUAACUGCCAACUCAGUAAUGAUUGGUAGCGAUUUAGGGAAAUCCAACCUGACCUAAGAGCUAAAGUUUAUUGUAAGAAUCUCCUUUCCUAUUA